UCUCGUUGAUGAUCGGUGCUUGCACCGAGAUUCAACAUGGAACGAGUGGCGGACGGGUGAGUAACACGUGGGUAACCUGCCCUUAAGUGGGGGAUAACAUUUGGAAACAGAUGCUAAUACCGCAUAGAUCCAAGAACCGCAUGGUUCUUGGCUGAAAGAUGGCGUAAGCUAUCGCUUUUGGAUGGACCCGCGGCGUAUUAGCUAGUUGGUGAGGUAAUGGCUCACCAAGGCGAUGAUACGUAGCCGAACUGAGAGGUUGAUCGGCCACAUUGGGACUGAGACACGGCCCAAACUCCUACGGGAGGCAGCAGUAGGGAAUCUUCCACAAUGGACGCAAGUCUGAUGGAGCAACGCCGCGUGAGUGAAGAAGGCUUUCGGGUCGUAAAACUCUGUUGUUGGAGAAGAAUGGUCGGCAGAGUAACUGUUGUCGGCGUGACGGUAUCCAACCAGAAAGCCACGGCUAACUACGUGCCAGCAGCCGCGGUAAUACGUAGGUGGCAAGCGUUAUCCGGAUUUAUUGGGCGUAAAGCGAGCGCAGGCGGUUUUUUAAGUCUGAUGUGAAAGCCCUCGGCUUAACCGAGGAAGCGCAUCGGAAACUGGGAAACUUGAGUGCAGAAGAGGACAGUGGAACUCCAUGUGUAGCGGUGAAAUGCGUAGAUAUAUGGAAGAACACCAGUGGCGAAGGCGGCUGUCUGGUCUGUAACUGACGCUGAGGCUCGAAAGCAUGGGUAGCGAACAGGAUUAGAUACCCUGGUAGUCCAUGCCGUAAACGAUGAAUGCUAGGUGUUGGAGGGUUUCCGCCCUUCAGUGCCGCAGCUAACGCAUUAAGCAUUCCGCCUGGGGAGUACGACCGCAAGGUUGAAACUCAAAGGAAUUGACGGGGGCCCG
Molecule: ribosomal RNA, 888 nt
Filed under: Lacticaseibacillus casei
Lineage: Bacteria; Bacillati; Bacillota; Bacilli; Lactobacillales; Lactobacillaceae
Description: bacterial SSU rRNA
Rfam family: Bacterial small subunit ribosomal RNA
Source: RNAcentral